CUGGGCGUAAGCGUGCGUAGGUGGUUAGAUUAGUUGGGUGUGAAAGCCCCGGGCUCAACCUGGGAACUGCAUUCAAUACUGUCUAGCUAGAGUAUGGUAGAGGGAAGUGGAAUUCUGCAUGUAGCGGUGAAAUGCGUAGAGAUGCAGAGGAACACCAGUGGCGAAGGCGACUUCCUGGACCAAUACUGACGCUGAGGUACGAAAGCGUGGGGAGCAAACAGGAUUAGAUACCCUGGUAGUCCACGCCGUAAACGAUGACAACUAGCUGUUGGGAUUGUAGUGAUCUUAGUAGCGAAGCUAACGCGUUAAGUUGUCCGCCUGGGGAGUACGGCCGCAAGGUUAAAACUCAAAGGAAAUUGACGG
This 363-nucleotide ribosomal RNA is filed under the name uncultured Gammaproteobacteria bacterium. RNAcentral's name for it is "bacterial SSU rRNA". It matches the Rfam family "Bacterial small subunit ribosomal RNA", at positions 554 to 916 of the family's 1533-position model. Lineage: Bacteria; Pseudomonadati; Pseudomonadota; Gammaproteobacteria. The record is from RNAcentral.